This is a small nuclear RNA of Rattus norvegicus (Norway rat), 145 nucleotides long. Ensembl annotates it as U1 spliceosomal RNA. The record is from Ensembl. Lineage: Eukaryota; Metazoa; Chordata; Mammalia; Rodentia; Muridae.
GAAAAGAUCUAGCAGAAGAGCCAUGAUCACAAAGGUGGUUCUCCCAGGGCAAGGCUCACCCAUUGCACUUGGGAUAGGCUAAACUUUGUCCUUUCCCCAAAUGUGGGGAACUUGACUGCACAAUUUGUGAUAAUGGGGGACCAUG